RNAcentral lists this ribosomal RNA (1328 nucleotides) under uncultured bacterium. Its description in RNAcentral is "bacterial SSU rRNA". It matches the Rfam family "Bacterial small subunit ribosomal RNA", at positions 28 to 1381 of the family's 1533-position model. The record is from RNAcentral.
GAUGAACGCUGGCGGCGUGGAUAAGGCAUGCAAGUCAAACGAUCCCUUCGGGGAUAGUGGCAAACGGGGUAGUAACAGGUAGGAACGAACCCAGAAGUCAGGAAUAACUAAUCGAAAGGUUAGCUAAUACUUGAUAGUCUCUUCGGAGUAAAGAUUUAUCGCUUCUGGAUCGGCCUGCCUCGUAUCAGCUAGUUGGUAGGGUAAUUGCCUACCAAGGCUAUGACGCGUAGGGGAGGUGAGAGCCUGACCCCCACCAUUGGCACUGCGACACUGGCCAAACACCUACGGGUGGCUGCAGUCGAGAAUCUUCCGCAAUGCACGAAAGUGUGACGGAGCGACGCCGCGUGGUUGAUGAAGUCCUUCGGGAUGUAAAAACCUUUUCUCAAGGAGGAAGUUUAUUGACGUUACUUGAGGAAUAAGGGGUUGCUAAACUCGUGCCAGCAGCAGCGGUAAUACGAGUGCCCCAAGCGUUAUCCGGAAUUAUUGGGCGUAAAGGGUGUGUAGGUGGUUGUAUUAGUCUCACGUAAAAGCCUCCGGCUUAACUGGAGAUCUGCGAGGGAAACGGUACAACUUGAGGAUGCGAGGGGUGUACGGAACUCAUGGUGUAGGGGUGAAAUCCGUUGAUAUCAUGGGGAACACCAAAAGCGAAGGCAGUGCACUGGCGCAUAUCUGACACUGAGACACGAAAGCUAGGGUAGCGAACGGGAUUAGAUACCCCGGUAGUCCUAGCCCUAAACGAUGAUCGCUGGUUUUUCGGAGUAUCGACCCUCUGAGAGACGAAGCUAACGCGUUAAGCGAUCCGCCUGGGUAGUACGGCCGCAAGGCUAAAACUCAAAGGAAUAGACGGGGACUUGCACAAGCAGUGGAUCAUGCGGUUUAAUUCGAUGAUAAACGAAGAACCUUACCAAGGUUUGAAACCUAACUGAAAGCUCCAGGAAAUUGGAGCCCUCUUCGGACAGUUAGGCAGGUGUUGCAUGGCCGUCGUCAGUUCGUGGUUUGAACUGUUCCCUUAAGUGGGGUAACGAACGCAACCCUCGCUGCCAGUUAUACGUGUCUGGCGGGACUGCCCCCUCAUUUGGUACUACAUUAAGUUUGGUACUAAGUGAGGGGGAGGAAGGCGAGGAUGACGCCAGGUCAGCAUGACCCUUUGACACCUUGGGCUACACGCAUGAUACAAUGGCGACUACAACAGGUUGCGACAGGGAAACCUUGAGCUAAUCCUAAAAAGUCGCCUCAGUUCGGAUUGAGGGCUGAAACUCGACCUCAUGAAGUUGGAAUUGCUAGUAAUCGCGGGUCAGCUAUACCGCGGUGAAUACGUUCUCAAGUCU